AAGAAAGGAGAGUUUUGUGAUGUUAUGGUGGUGGUUCAGUGAGAAUGUGGUGGACCAUGGUGGUGAUUUGGUGGCAAAUAGUAAAAGAAAUGGUGGUUGAAGGUGGAGGAAAAAAGAGAAAAGUGAAGAGAGAAAGUUGAAAUAAAAAAGCAAAUGAGAGUGUUUUGGGUGUCUAGGUGCAUAGGACGACAAGUCAAUGGGAGGACAGGGAAAAUGUGGAAAGGAGUGGUUCAAGGGGAAGUAAAGGAAAGUAAGGGAACAUGGGGAGCAAAAUAUGGGCUAUUGAAGGAAAGAAG
This 296-nucleotide long non-coding RNA is filed under the name Gossypium raimondii (Peruvian cotton). RNAcentral's name for it is "long non-coding RNA (GRAI_LNC004068)". Lineage: Eukaryota; Viridiplantae; Streptophyta; Magnoliopsida; Malvales; Malvaceae. The record is from RNAcentral.